Molecule: ribosomal RNA, 315 nt
Filed under: uncultured bacterium
Lineage: Bacteria
Description: bacterial SSU rRNA
Rfam family: Bacterial small subunit ribosomal RNA
Source: RNAcentral
AAUGAACGCUGGCGGCGUGCCUAACACAUGCAAGUCGAACGAGAAAAUCCUUCGGGAUUAGUACAGUGGCGAACGGGUGCCUAACACGUAGGAAUCUGCCUUUUAGUGGGGGAUACCUUCGAGAAAUCGAAGUUAAUACCGCAUAUUCCCUUCGGGGAAAAGACGGCCUCUUUGCUGUCGCUAAAAGAUGAGCCUGCGUACUAUUAGCUAGUUGGUGGGGUAAAAAGCCUACCAAGGCGAAGAUGGUUAGCCGGCCUGAGAGGGUGUACGGCCACACUGGGACUGAGAUACGGCCCAGACUCCUACGGGUGGCAG